This 460-nucleotide ribosomal RNA is filed under the name uncultured bacterium. RNAcentral describes it as "partial 16S ribosomal RNA". It matches the Rfam family "Bacterial small subunit ribosomal RNA", at positions 338 to 795 of the family's 1533-position model. The record is from RNAcentral.
CCUACGGGAGGCAGCAGUGAGGAAUAUUGGUCAAUGGGCGCGAGCCUGAACCAGCCAAGUAGCGUGAAGGAUGACUGCCCUACGGGUUGUAAACUUCUUUUAUAAAGGAAUAAAGUGAGGCACGUGUACCUUCUUGUAUGUACUUUAUGAAUAAGGAUCGGCUAACUCCGUGCCAGCAGCCGCGGUAAUACGGAGGAUCCGAGCGUUAUCCGGAUUUAUUGGGUUUAAAGGGAGCGUAGACGGGUUGUUAAGUCAGUUGUGAAAGUUUGCGGCUCAACCGUAAAAUUGCAAUUGAUACUGGCAGGCUUGAGUACAGUUGAGGGAGGUGGAAUUCGUGGUGUAGCGGUGAAAUGCUUAGAUAUCACGAAGAACUCCGAUUGCGAAGGCAGCUUACUGGACUGCAACUGACAUUGAUGCUCGAAAGUGUGGGUAUCAAACAGGAUUAGAUACCCGGGUAGUC